AAUGAACGCUGGCGGCGCGCCUAAUACAUGCGAGUCGAGCGAGAAGACGUAGCAAUACGUUUGUAAAGCGGCGAACGGGUGAGGAAUACAUGGGUAACCUACCCUAGAGUGGGGAAUAACUAGCCGAAAGGUUAGCUAAUACCGCGUACGCUCCUUGGACUUCGGUUCAGGGAGGAAAGCGAUGCCGAGGGUAUCGCGCUCUUGGAUGGGCUCAUGUCCUAUCAGCUGUUGGUGAGGUAACGGCUCACCAAGGCUUCGACGGGUAGCUGGUCUGAGAGGACGAUCAGCCACACUGGCACUGCGACACGGGCCAGACUCCUACGGGAGGCAGCAGUAAGGAAUAUUGCGCAAUGGGCGAAAGCCUGACGCAGCGACGCCGCGGUGGGGGA
RNAcentral lists this ribosomal RNA (389 nucleotides) under uncultured bacterium. RNAcentral's name for it is "bacterial SSU rRNA". It matches the Rfam family "Bacterial small subunit ribosomal RNA", at positions 29 to 408 of the family's 1533-position model. The record is from RNAcentral.